AGCUGGUUUGAUGGUAGUGGGUUAUCAGAACUUAUUAAUGUUAGUGUCACUAAAGUUGGUAUACAACCCCCCACUGCUAAAUUUUGGCUUAAA
RNAcentral lists this Y RNA (93 nucleotides) under Aotus nancymaae (Ma's night monkey). RNAcentral's name for it is "Y RNA (ENSANAG00000013575.1)". It matches the Rfam family "Y RNA". From Rfam's summary of the family: Y RNAs are components of the Ro ribonucleoprotein particle (Ro RNP), in association with Ro60 and La proteins. The Y RNAs and Ro60 and La proteins are well conserved, but the function of the Ro RNP is not known. In humans the RNA component can be one of four small RNAs -- hY1, hY3, hY4 and hY5. Lineage: Eukaryota; Metazoa; Chordata; Mammalia; Primates; Aotidae. The record is from Rfam by way of RNAcentral.